This 468-nucleotide ribosomal RNA is filed under the name uncultured bacterium. Its description in RNAcentral is "partial 16S ribosomal RNA". It matches the Rfam family "Bacterial small subunit ribosomal RNA", at positions 28 to 507 of the family's 1533-position model. The record is from RNAcentral.
GACGAACGCUGGCGGCGUGCUUAACACAUGCAAGUCGAACGGAAAGGCCCUGCUUUUGUGGGGUGCUCGAGUGGCGAACGGGUGAGUAACACGUGAGUAACCUGCCCUUGACUUUGGGAUAACUUCAGGAAACUGGGGCUAAUACCGGAUAGGAGCUCCUGCUGCAUGGUGGGGGUUGGAAAGUUUCGGCGGUUGGGGAUGGACUCGCGGCUUAUCAGCUUGUUGGUGGGGUAGUGGCUUACCAAGGCUUUGACGGGUAGCCGGCCUGAGAGGGUGACCGGCCACAUUGGGACUGAGAUACGGCCCAGACGCCUACGGGAGGCAGCAGUGGCGAGUAUGGCACAACGGGCGGAGGCCUGAUGCAGCGACGCCGCGUGCGGGAUGAGGGCCUUCGGGUUGUAAACCGAUGUCGCCUGUGACGCAGCGUGAAUGACGGUAAUGGGUAAAAAAGCACCGGCUAACUACGUG